Molecule: ribosomal RNA, 253 nt
Filed under: uncultured bacterium
Lineage: Bacteria
Description: partial 16S ribosomal RNA
Rfam family: Bacterial small subunit ribosomal RNA
Source: RNAcentral
UACGUAGGGGGCUAGCGUUGUCCGGAAUCAUUGGGCGUAAAGGGCUCGUAGGCGGCCAACUAAGUCAGACGUGAAAUCCCCAGGCUCAACCUGGGAACUGCGUCUGAUACUGGAUGGCUUGAAUCCGGGAGAGGGAUGCAGAAUUCCUGGUGUAGCGGUGGAAUGCGCAGAUAUCAGGAGGAACACCUAUAGCGAAGGCAGCUUGCUGGGACGUUACUGACGCUAAGGCGCGAAAGCGUGGGGAGCGAACAGG